This 449-nucleotide ribosomal RNA is filed under the name uncultured bacterium. RNAcentral describes it as "bacterial SSU rRNA". It matches the Rfam family "Bacterial small subunit ribosomal RNA", at positions 328 to 794 of the family's 1533-position model. The record is from RNAcentral.
GACCCAGACUCCUACGGGAGGCAGCAGUGGGGAAUAUUGCACAAUGGGGGAAACCCUGAUGCAGCGACGCCGCGUGAGUGAGGAAGUAUUUCGGUAUGUAAAGCUCUACCAGCAGGGAAGAAAAUGACGGUACCUGACUAAGAAGCCCCGGCUAACUACGUGCCAGCAGCCGCGGUAAUACGUAGGGGGCAAGCGUUAUCCGGAUUUACUGGGUGUAAAGGGGGCGCAGACGGCGAUGCAAGCCAGGAGUGAAAGCCCGGGGCCCAACCCCGGGACUGCUCUUGGAACUGCGUGGCUGGAGUGCAGGAGGGGCAGGCGGAAUUCCUGGUGUAGCGGUGAAAUGCGUAGAUAUCAGGAGGAACACCGGCGGCGAAGGCGGCCUGCUGGACCGUAACUGACGUUGAGGCUCGAAAGCGUGGGGGGCAAACAGGAUUAGAUACCCCCGUACU